CAGCAUGAAGUUUGCUUGCAAACUUUGAUGGCGACCGGCGGAUGGGUGAGUAACGCGUAUCCAACCUGCCCCCUUCCCGGGCACAGCCCUUGGAAACGAGGAUUAACUCCCGAUGGUGUCAGUCAGGCGCAUGCCUUUCUGACCAAUGUUAAGGAAGGGAUGGGGAUGCGUCCCAUUAGCUUGUUGGCGGGGUAACGCCCACCAAGGCUCCGAUGGGUAGGGGUUCUGAGAGGAAGGUCCCCCACACUGGAACUGAGACACGGUCCAGACUCCUACGGGAGGCAGCAGUGAGGAAUAUUGGUCAAUGGAGGCAACUCUGAACCAGCCAAGUAGCGUGAGGGAAGACUGCCCUACGGGUUGUAAACCUCUUUUGUCGGGGAAUAAACCGCAUCACGUGUGAUGCUCUGCAUGUACCCGCAGAAUAAGGACCGGCUAAUUCCGUG
This 443-nucleotide ribosomal RNA is filed under the name uncultured bacterium. Its description in RNAcentral is "bacterial SSU rRNA". It matches the Rfam family "Bacterial small subunit ribosomal RNA", at positions 69 to 507 of the family's 1533-position model. The record is from RNAcentral.